This 567-nucleotide ribosomal RNA is filed under the name Naganishia albida. RNAcentral describes it as "LSU rRNA". It matches the Rfam family "Eukaryotic large subunit ribosomal RNA", at positions 49 to 604 of the family's 3401-position model. Lineage: Eukaryota; Fungi; Basidiomycota; Tremellomycetes; Filobasidiales; Filobasidiaceae. The record is from RNAcentral.
AGCGGAGGAAAAGAAACUAACAAGGAUUCCCCUAGUAACGGCGAGUGAAGCGGGAAGAGCUCAAAUUUGAAAUCUGGUAGCCUUCGGUUGCCCGAGUUGUAAUCUAGAGAAGUGUUUUCCGUGCCGGCCCAUGUACAAGUCCCUUGGAACAGGGCGUCAUAGAGGGUGAGAAUCCCGUCCUUGACAUGGACCCCCGGUGCUUUGUGAUACACUUUCAACGAGUCGAGUUGUUUGGGAAUGCAGCUCAAAAUGGGUGGUGAAUUCCAUCUAAAGCUAAAUAUUGGCGAGAGACCGAUAGCGAACAAGUACCGUGAGGGAAAGAUGAAAAGCACUUUGGAAAGAGAGUUAAACAGUACGUGAAAUUGUUGAAAGGGAAACGAUUGAAGUCAGUCAUGCUCUUGGGACUUACCUCCCUUGAGUGGGGUCAACAUCAGUUUUGAUCGAUGGAUAAAGGCACGGGGAAGGUAGCACUCUCGGGUGAACUUAUAGCCUCGCGUCAUAUACAUUGAUUGGGACUGAGGAACGCAGCAUGCCUUAUGGCCGGGAUUCGUCCACGUACAUGCUAGG